RNAcentral lists this transfer RNA (72 nucleotides) under Lepetodrilus nux. Its description in RNAcentral is "tRNA-Glu". The record is from RNAcentral. Lineage: Eukaryota; Metazoa; Mollusca; Gastropoda; Lepetellida; Lepetodrilidae.
AGUUCUUAUGGUGUAGCUAGUUGCACGUUAGGUUUUCGUCCUGGAGGGAUGUUAAAUUUGCAUUAAGGACUU